GCAGUACACUUACUUGUUUUUGUUUAAAGUGAUGUUUGCAAUGUUUUUGUUGCAUGUAAAAUAAUACUGUAUUGAAAAUAGUUUGACAUCCUUUUUCUAGGUUUUUAUUGUUUAGAAUUUUAGAAUGGUUUUAGUAAGAAUUGUAUAAGAAUGCUUCUGUUUGAUAAGUAGAUAUAUAUGCAAACUUGUGAGUGAUCAGUUUCAGAAUUGUAUGAUUUGCAUGGCAAUUUCAAAGGCCAUUGUUUUGGUGCUCAAGAAAUUACUGGAAAAUAAUGUUUUUAAUUCCUUUCUUAAAUAUUCGUGACAUUUGUAUUUCUACCUGGGCAGGAUGCAGAGAAAAGUGGGCAGUCACCGUUGUGUAUUGUUUUGUCUUUUCGAUGCAAGUACAGGAAAGCAAUAUUAUAUGUGACAGGUGACAGCUGAAAGACAGUUUAUAUUCCAAGGAAGAAAGGAGGUCUACACAGCAGAUUACAAAUGUCAUGUUAUAUUCUUCACACUUGAUAAUUUCUGGGUUUUAUUUCAUUGGAUGGGUAUUGAAGAAUGAUAUAUAUAUAUAUGGUUUAUGAUGAUGGGAAGCAACAAAAUUUUAAUAUAUUAUGUAUCACAGCUAUAUGUUGUCAGUCUGUAUAAGUGGAUGGUUAUUUGGGUUUUAGGAUACAUUUUAUGUGACUAUAAUUUCCUUUCAUUGUAAAGUUGAUACCAAUGAUGAUUUGGUAGAUUUGCUUCUUUUCUUUAUUCUGCAGCAAUAAACCUGCAAUGGUUCAUUUUCUGAAAUUCUUCUUUUAGGAGAUACUGUGAAUAUUAGCAUGGUUAGUACAAAUAUAUCACUUUUCAUUUUAGAUCAGUUAUAAGUGCCACUGUUGGACUGCUGUUUUUCAAUAAGAAAUCAUCAGUGAGGGUUGUUUGAGAAACUAAUCAAUAGGAAAAAAUACUUCAAAUUUCUUUUUGUGAACCUUCUAUAUUAAUGAAGGAAAAAAACUAGCAGCAACCCAUGAAUAUUAAGUUUAUCUAUCAGCUUAGGAUAUAUCAAAAUCUGUGAUAACUUUUUGAGAUAAAAAGGAAGCCAGUGAGAAUAUAUGUACAUAUGUUAAAAACAAUUUUUUUUUCAAAAGUUUUAUAACUGCAAUCAUUACAUGGUUGUUACUAAUAGAAUAUGGUCUCUAACAACUGAACAGACACCUUAAGAUGUCAUAGCCACAAUCCUGUCAUUGUUUGAUUAUUUUCAACUAAUAUUAUCACUUAGAUUUGUAAAUGUGUUGAGCAACUAGAGGUUCUUGAGCUCUUCCAACACUUUGUUUUAUCAGAUUUGUUCAUGUUAACACUUUGUUUGUUGUCCCCCUUUCAUGUAUUUGAAUUAUAUAUUAUAUAUUUAUUAUUGUUCUCAUGUAAAAUAAUCAACAAUCAAUUGUACACUUACAUUAAACUUGUAAUUGCUAUGCUCAUUUGUGUGGUCGUAAUUGACAUUUAAUAAAAUAUUGUAUUAUGGUACUGUUAUUUGCAGCAUGAUCUUCUGAUACUACCCAAGUACUUGAGUUCACCUCUGUGUUUUAGUGAGGUCAAUUUUGCUUCAUAUAGUUUUCAAUGUUUUGUAGGCAAAUUAGUAUGUUUACUUAUUUUUUGCCAUGAUAUGCCCUGAUACGCACCCCUUGGUAUACUCUUUAUAUUAGUUUUGAUUAUAUCUAUUAUUUUAUACAAUUGUUAAAUUUCAAGCUUUUAGUUAGUAAAAGGUGACACUCCUAAACUGUAGCCAUUAAUCAAUCAAGCAAGCUAAAUUGUCUUACAGAGAAUAAAUAAGUAUACAUCACAAUUAAAUAUAUACUAUUUAAAAAAUAACCUGUAGUUACAAAAUGUUAUUUGAAGAAUGAAAAUGUACUUUGAUCCAUUUUUUAUAUACAAAUAUUUUGUGAAAAUGUUACUAUGAGUAUUAGUGGUAUUAUAAUUAUUGUAAAAAAAAUAUUCCUUCAACAACAUAAUGUCAUGCACUGCUGAGCUAUUCUUUUUUGCUUUAUACGGUCAUUUCAAGACAGAAUAUAAAAAUGUGAUAUAUUGACAAGAUUGGUCUACUAGUAUUUAUUUUUUACUUCAUUUAGGGUCUAAUAUUUGUUGGAUUAGUUUGUAAUGUAACUCAUAUAAAUGUAUACUUGUGUGAUUUAAAUGCAAUAAUUAUAAUGUAUAUACAUGACAUGUAUAUAUGUUCUUAA
Molecule: long non-coding RNA, 2201 nt
Filed under: Mytilus galloprovincialis (Mediterranean mussel)
Lineage: Eukaryota; Metazoa; Mollusca; Bivalvia; Mytilida; Mytilidae
Source: RNAcentral